AGAGUUUGAUCCUGGCUCAGGAUUAACGCUGGCGGUAUGUAUAAUACAUGCAAGUCGAACGGCCCUUCGGGGCAGUGGCGAACGGGUGAGGAACACGUUGGAAGUUUCCCAGUACUCAGGGAUACCCCGCAGAAAUGCGGGUUAAUACCGGAUGGUCUCGUAAGAGUAAAGCUUUUGCGGUACUGGAGACGCCUGCGUCCUAUCAGCUAGUUGGUGAGGUAAUGGCUCACCAAGGCUAUGACGGGUAACUGGUCUGAGAGGACGGCCAGUCACAAUGGGACUGAGACACGGCCCAUACUCCUACGGGAGGCAGCAGUAAAGAAUCUUCCGCAAUGGGGGCAACCCUGACGGAGCGAUACCGCGUGAAUGAUGAAGGUCUAUUGAUUGUAAAGUUCUUUUCUGGAGGAAGAAUUCUGACGGUACUCCAGGAAUAAGCACCGGCUAACUUCGUGCCAGCAGCUGCGGUAAUACGAAGGGUGCAAGCGUUAUCCGGAAUUAUUGGGCGUAAAGCGUCCGCAGGUGGUUUGUUAAGUCAAAUGUUAAAUAUUAAAGCUCAACUUUAAACUUGUAUUUGAAACUGGCAGACUAGAGAGCUUCAGAGGUACGUGGAAUUUUGUGUGUAGGGGUUAAAUCCGUAGAUACACAAAAGAACAUCAAAAGCGAAGGCAACGUACUGGGAAGUUUCUGACACUCAUGGACGAAAGCGUAGGUAGCGAACGGGAUUAGAUACCCCGGUAGUCUACGCUGUAAACGAUGGAUACUAGGUGUUGGGGGACUCGACCCCCUCAGUGCCAAAGCUAACGCAUUAAGUAUCCCGCCUGUGGACUACGAGCGCAAGCUUAAAACAUAAAGGAAUAGACGGGGACCCACACAAGCGGUGGAGCAUCUGGUUUAAUUCGACAGUGAGCGAGGAACCUUACCUAGGUUUGACAUCCCGAGAAUCUUCUAGAAAUAGAGGAGUGCCUUACGGAACUCGGAGACAGGUGCUGCAUGGUUGUCGUCAGCUCGUGCCUUGAGGUGUUCGGUUAAGUCCGUAAACGAGCGCAACCCAUGUCCUAUGUUGUAAUUCUCAUAGGAGACUGCCGAUUCAAAGUCGGAGGAAGGUAUGGAUGAGGUCAAAUCAGCAUGGCCCUUAUACCUAGGGCUACACGGAUGCUACAAUGGUCGGUACAAUGGGCAGCAAUAUCGUAAGAUGGAGCCAAUCCCUAAAACCGAUCUCAGUUCAGAUUGAGAGCUGCAAUUCGCUCUCAUGAAGUUGGAAUCGCUAGUAACCGCGGAUCAGCAAUGGCGCGGUGAAUAUGUUCCUGGGUCUUGUACUCACCGCCCGUCAUGCUAUGAGAGGUGGGAGCACCCAAAAUAUCCUUAGCCGCAAGGCGGGGUCCUAAGGUGAUACCACUGAUUGAAGUAAAGUCGUAACAAGGUAACC
RNAcentral lists this ribosomal RNA (1426 nucleotides) under uncultured bacterium. RNAcentral describes it as "bacterial SSU rRNA". It matches the Rfam family "Bacterial small subunit ribosomal RNA". The record is from RNAcentral.